RNAcentral lists this ribosomal RNA (449 nucleotides) under uncultured bacterium. Its description in RNAcentral is "bacterial SSU rRNA". It matches the Rfam family "Bacterial small subunit ribosomal RNA", at positions 355 to 796 of the family's 1533-position model. The record is from RNAcentral.
UGGGGAAUUUUGGACAAUGGGGGCAACCCUGAUCCAGCAAUGCCGCGUGAGUGAAGAAGGCCUUCGGGUUGUAAAGCUCUUUUGUCAGGGAAGAAACGGUGAGGGCUAAUACCCUGUGCUAAUGACGGUACCUGAAGAAUAAGCACCGGCUAACUACGUGCCAGCAGCCGCGGUAAUACGUAGGGUGCAAGCGUUAAUCGGAAUUACUGGGCGUAAAGCGUGCGCAGGCGGUUAUGUAAGACAGGUGUGAAAUCCCCGGGCUUAACCUGGGAAUGGCAUUUGUGACUGCAUGGCUAGAGUGUGUCAGAGGGGGGUAGAAUUCCACGUGUAGCAGUGAAAUGCGUAGAGAUGUGGAGGAAUACCGAUGGCGAAGGCAGCCCCCUGGGAUAACACUGACGCUCAUGCACGAAAGCGUGGGGAGCAAACAGGAUUAGAUACCCCCGUAGUCC